This is a long non-coding RNA of Prunus avium (sweet cherry), 987 nucleotides long. RefSeq lists it as uncharacterized. NCBI's taxonomy places the organism in Eukaryota, Viridiplantae, Streptophyta, Magnoliopsida, Rosales, Rosaceae. The record is from RefSeq and is a predicted model, not a curated record.
AAAUUCGACAAAACCACUCCUGAGGUUUGAAGCCUCAAGCCGCUCUCCCCGCCGAUGCCUCCAUUUCCUUUACAGAGCUAGUGGUUAAGCUCGUGGAGUUCUGUGGCUACUCUGUAGAUUGGAGGUGUCAAUUGCCAGAGGAAGGUGUUCAAAAAGGCAAACGUCAGUGGUGCUAGCGAGAAGAACGAAGAUGAAGACGAUUUCUCUUUCGCAUGCACCAACCCCGAUGGAUUGCCGAUUUCCGUCGACGAUAUAUUCCAAAAUGGCCAGAUUCGUCCGGCGUUCCCGAUUUUCAACCGGGAUCUCCUAUUCUACAAUGCCGAUGACGACGAUUCUUCCAAGCCAAAGGGGUUGCCGCUUCGUCUUUCUCUCUGCGGCCGCCAUUGAUGAAGCUCUUCUUUGAUGAGCGGGAUACGCCAACCUCGGCAACGUCGUUUUACAACUCAGGAGGUGGACUCAGGUCCUGAUCCAUGAGAUCAACCAGCUUCUGAGUUUGAUCAUCAACACCUUCUACAGCAACAAGGAGAUCUUUCUCCAUGAGCUCAUCUGUAACGCCUCUGAUUGGGGCAUAGGCGGGUUCAAGCUUGGUGGAGUUGGUGAUUCAUGGAUGGAUGUCUUGGAGCUGAUACGGCUAUCUGGUUGAGGGAACUUCUGGUCUUGGUGGCAGAUUUGUGGGUCUUUUGUGUGCAACUAUGCUGCUUUGUGCGGUGGUGAUGUCUCCUCUCACGGCGGCCUUUGUGUGCUUAGGAUAGGGUUUGCCAAAAUCCUAGCUUUGAGUGUGAACUGGGCUGUAUGCUUAUUUUUGGGCCCUAAUUGUAUUUGGGGUGGGCCACUGGACUUUGUGUGUUGUUUUAUUUUGAGUUAUUUUUGUUAUUGUACUGGGUAUGAGAACUUUGUUCUAAACUUGGUUUGAGUUUAGAUGUUCUUUCCUGGUUGUGUUACGGUUCUGUUAUGCCAUUGGUUUGUGCUUUGUACACCUGCCUCUUC